Long non-coding RNA from Daphnia pulicaria, 374 nucleotides. RefSeq lists it as uncharacterized. The transcript has 2 exons. The record is from RefSeq and is a predicted model, not a curated record. NCBI's taxonomy places the organism in Eukaryota, Metazoa, Arthropoda, Branchiopoda, Diplostraca, Daphniidae.
CGACAGCAGACGCUUUUAUUUGAAGCGUUUAGUCGUCUACGGUAAAGUGGAAAGUUGGCCCAAAGGAAAUAGAGCCUGCAAGUUGGACAUGUCAUGGGAGCAGUAACUGGAGCUGCCAAAAUUGGUUUCGGGAUAGCCGGACAAGGUCCAGGGCAGGCAACGAUGAACUCUCCACCGGAAUGCUCCAUCACAAGUUUCGCUUAGCGGUCAUCUAAACACAGAUUAAUAUGUGAUGUAACGUACCCUAUCCAGGUUCAAGUUCGAGAUUUUAGAAGCAGUUUUAACGAAUAUCCAGCAGCCUCAUAUAAAUGCAGAUUUCCCACUUCCCAUAUGCAAAUUACUUGAUCUGGAUGAGACGACUGAUGCAAUGUAAC